This is a long non-coding RNA of Cavia porcellus (domestic guinea pig), 624 nucleotides long. RefSeq lists it as uncharacterized. The record is from RefSeq and is a predicted model, not a curated record. The transcript is spliced from 3 exons. NCBI's taxonomy places the organism in Eukaryota, Metazoa, Chordata, Mammalia, Rodentia, Caviidae.
GAUGACGCCAUCGCCGCGGGCCCGCCUCCCAGCCGGGACCGGGGUAGACGCGCCAGUCCCGCGCGGCCUGCGGUCUCAGCUCGGUCUCGCUGCCUAGGGAGUUAUUUUUCCUCCCCAUUGUGGAGGAUUUGAGGAAUGCUUCACGGGAUCCUAAACUACCCGUCCCACCUUACAUGGGCAUGAUGCGCCGUUCCUUUUGAGAAGAGAACACCUAUGACGAGUAUGAGAACGACCUGGGCAUCACAGCCAUCGCACUUUAGGACUACCAGGCUGCGCGUGGUGACGAAAUCUCCUUUGACCCUGAUGACAUCAUCAGCAACAUAGAAAUGAUGCAUGAGGAAGGCUGGCAGCGCAGCGUGUGCAGGCGCCUGUACGGGCUCUUCCCGGCCAACUAUGUGGAGAUGUGGCAGUAGGCGGCCCGCCUGCCCUGCGGGCCUGUACAGAAUCACACUUCAGAUCAUGCCUUUGCUGGUUUGGGGUUUUGGGUUUGUAUUUUUUGUUCUGUUUUCUGAGGGUGAGGAGGGAAAUAUACAUAUUGAUUUUAUAUUUAAUACUUCUACUGAUGCUUUUGAAAAUGUUGAUGCCACAGAAUGUGCUAAUAAAUUGUAAUCAUGUUCCCUAGGA